RNAcentral lists this ribosomal RNA (458 nucleotides) under uncultured bacterium. RNAcentral's name for it is "partial 16S ribosomal RNA". It matches the Rfam family "Bacterial small subunit ribosomal RNA", at positions 338 to 795 of the family's 1533-position model. The record is from RNAcentral.
CCUACGGGUGGCUGCAGUGGGGAAUAUUGCACAAUGGCCGAAACCCUGAUGCAGCGACGCCGCGUGAGUGAAGAAGUAUUUCGGUAUGUAAAGCUCUAUCUGCAGGGAAGAAAUAGCGCCCUUUGGGUCGCCAGACGGUACCUGCUUAAGAAGCCCCGGCUAACUACGUGCCAGCAGCCGCGGUAAUACGUAGGGGGCAAGCGUUAUCCGGAUUUACUGGGUGUAAAGGGAGCGGAGACGGCAGCGAAAGUCUGAAGUGAAAUGCCGGGGCUUAACCCCGGAACUGCUUUGGAAACUGUGGAGCUAGAGUGCAGGAGAGGUAAGUGGAAGGCGUAGUGUAGCGGUGAAAUGCGUAGAUAUUAGGAGGAACACCAGUGGCGAAGGCGGCGUACUGGACUGUAACUGACGUUGAGGCUCGAAAGCGUGGGGAGCAAACAGGAUUAGAUACCCGGGUAGUC